Molecule: long non-coding RNA, 941 nt
Organism: Pan troglodytes (chimpanzee)
Lineage: Eukaryota; Metazoa; Chordata; Mammalia; Primates; Hominidae
Exons: 6
Source: RefSeq, a predicted model, not a curated record
CCCACAGCUGUGUCCGGAAGCAGCAAGCGUGCCUGGGCAGAGACCCCCAGAGUGUAAAGAGGUCCUGGGACAGGCUUUGCACGUUCCACAAGAGGGACUUCCUCUGCCCCCAGCUUCCUGAUUCUUUAUAACUCUGACCAUCGCAGAGCACAACGUUACAGCGAGACAGGGCGUGAUGGAUCCCCAGCAGCCCAGAGAUACUCAGUGAAGUCACAUACCCGGAGGAGAAAAAGACCAAAGACCAAAGAGGCCAAAGACCUCAAGCAGGGCCUGUAGGACCCAAAGUACUGGCAGGUGCCAGAGCCACUCCUCCCCACAUCCAGAGGCCGACUCCCCUGUUCUCUGCUUCCUUCGCCCUCCCCUUGCCAACCUGCUUCAACACAGAAUCCUGCAGGACCUCCUCCUUUGCCAUAUGCUCCUUCAGCAGUUCUGUCUGCACAAUCCCUGGCCACAGAGACACACAGCUGACCCCAUGGCGCCGCAGCUCGUGGGCACAGUCAGCAGCCAGCUUGUCACACUGUGGAGAGGCGGAAGGCAGGGAGCCCCAAGGUCUCAGCUGCCCACGCUCCACAGUGUGAUGCCUACUCUAGCCAACCGAGAGGAGCACAAGCAAAGGAACUGUCCAUGGAUGAGGCAGAGGAGGAGCUGAGAGGAGCCAGCCUUACCAUUCUGACCACUGGGGAUUGUACCUCCUGAGCUAUAGUGUCUCCCUGUGUCGUCUAGACUGGAGUGCAGUGGUGUGAUCAUGGCUCAACUCCUAGGCUCAAGCGAUUCUCCUGCCUCAGCCUCCGGAGUAGCUGCUGGGACUGCAGGAACGUGCCACCAUGGCUGGCUCAAACACAAAGUUUUUUCAUAAAACUCACUUGGCGGCAAAAUUCUACCUUACCUGAAGUUAUUUACGGGGUUUUUAAUUUCCACUUUGAAUAAAUAUUCACAUCUUG